RNAcentral lists this ribosomal RNA (253 nucleotides) under uncultured bacterium. RNAcentral describes it as "partial 16S ribosomal RNA". It matches the Rfam family "Bacterial small subunit ribosomal RNA", at positions 524 to 776 of the family's 1533-position model. The record is from RNAcentral.
UACGUAGGAGGCAAGCGUUGUCCGGAUUUACUGGGCGUAAAGCGCGCGCAGGCGGCCGUGCAAGUAAGGUGUGAAAUCUCCCUGCUCAACGGGGAGGGUGCAUUUUAGACUGCACAGCUAGAGGUCGGUAGAGGGGGGUGGAAUUGCUGGUGUAGCGGUGAAAUGCGUAGAGAUCAGCAGGAACACCCGUGGCGAAGGCGGCCCCCUGGGCCGUACCUGACGCUGAGGCGCGAAGGCUAGGGGAGCGAACGGG